This 293-nucleotide ribosomal RNA is filed under the name uncultured bacterium. RNAcentral's name for it is "partial 16S ribosomal RNA". It matches the Rfam family "Bacterial small subunit ribosomal RNA", at positions 775 to 1067 of the family's 1533-position model. The record is from RNAcentral.
GGAUUAGAUACCCUGGUAGUCCACGCUGUAAACGAUGAGAACUAGUCGUCGGGAAGGUCUGCCACUCGGUGACGUAGCUAACGCGUUAAGUUCUCCGCCUGGGGAGUACGCCGGCAACGGUAAAACUCAAAGUAAUUGACGGGGGCCCGCACAAGUGGUGGAGCAUGUGGUUUAAUUCGAUGCAACGCGAAGAACCUUACCUGGCCUUGACAUCCUGGGAACUUAGCAGAGAUGCUUUGGUGCCUUCGGGAACCCAGUGACAGGUGCUGCAUGGCUGUCGUCAGCUCGUGCCG